CCUACGGGAGGCAGCAGUGGGGAAUAUUGGGCAAUGGGCGCAAGCCUGACCCAGCAACGCCGCGUGAAGGAAGAAGGCUUUCGGGUUGUAAACUUCUUUUCUCAGGGACGAAGCAAGUGACGGUACCUGAGUAAUAAGCCACGGCUAACUCCGUGCCAGCAGCCGCGGUAAUACGUAGGUGGCAAGCGUUAUCCGGAUUUACUGGGUGUAAAGGGCGUGUAGGCGGGAAAGCAAGUCAGAUGUGAAACCCAUGGGCUCAACCUGUGGACUGGAUUUGAAACUGUUUGUCUUGAGUACUGGUGAGGCAGACGGAAUGCCUAGUGUAGCGGUGAAAUGCGUAGAUAUUAGGAGGAACACCAGUGGCGAAGGCAGUCUGCUGGACAGCAACUGACGCUGAGGCGCGAAAGCGUGGGGAUCAAACAGGAUUAGAUACCCCAGUAGUC
This 443-nucleotide ribosomal RNA is filed under the name uncultured bacterium. RNAcentral describes it as "partial 16S ribosomal RNA". It matches the Rfam family "Bacterial small subunit ribosomal RNA", at positions 338 to 795 of the family's 1533-position model. The record is from RNAcentral.